GAGACAGCCCGGUAAGGUAGAUACGCAGGAUGAUUUCUCUUGUGUUUAUUUGAGAAAAUUUCAUCCUGCUUACCGGGACAAUUUUGUUGUUUUGACAUUGUUUUGACAGUUGUUAAAAAUAGCUUGCGGCAGUAUCAUUGAACUUUCAUCCUGGCAACUGGGCUAGCCUGCUUGUGAUUGUUUAUAUGGAGAAAUUUCCAUCCUGGUCUCUGCAACAGGGCCUCCCGCUUGUACAUAGAAACAAUUUUAAUUAUAAUUUUUACUAUAAAAAUAAGUAGACAGCGAGAUCUCACUUACCGGGCUGUCUCACUUAGUGGGCCAGCCAGUUUCGAUAUAAACAGGCCCUUAAAAGCUGCAAGUUUCCUUAAAGCAAUAUCGUCUAUAUCACAGAAUACAGUUUCUGUAGUGACAUACUUUGUGUGUUUUCUGUCUUUAAAGUGUCUUAUGUUUGUAAUAUUUUUGUACAAUACCUUUUUGAAAUUGUUGAUACUGGUCUCAUUGUAACUCAGUUAUUCCUUCUCAAGAAAAAUAAAAAAACAAAGCUGUGUGGGUGUGUUUUUGCUCUAGUUUUUACAUCUACAUGAUUCAUGUACAAUUAAUGUACAUUUAAAUUAGCUUUGUUCAAUGAAUACAGGUGUGAUUCAAAUAUCAUUCCUAUCUGGUACUUGGGUCAAAUAGACAUAAGCAUACCAAAUCAUGCUAUGAAUUGAAAUACAAGUAUAGGGUGUGUAUUGUUUAAAUAAAUAUAUUUUCCAGUUAACCCAGUAAGCUGCAUUGUGCCCCAAUGCACCCUACUUUACUAGUUUAUUUCACUUCAUCUAAUGCCAGAUGAUUUUACUUAUCGAGGGAGAGUGCUGCUGCUCAUUGAGCUCUGAUUGAGUUCACUGAGUGGCAGCACUUUCCCCUUGACGAGUGAAAUUGUCUGGUGUUAGACAGAGUAAAAUAAUCUUGUGUUCACUAAAGUAGCUACUUUUUCAAAAGCUCAACCAGGCUAAAGAUUCUUUGAUUUGAAAACCAAAGUGAUAGUGAACUAGUUAGUUGAAACAAACAGAAUUGUUCGAUUUAUUUACUUUCCACAACAUAAUUUGACAAUUAAAAUUUAAUUUGAUACUUUUCCAGUAUGCAUUCUUCAUUGACAUUAUAGAGGUUCAGAUUUGACUACCAUUACCAUUAAGGGACCAUCAAAUGCAUUUGAUAUAUUCGAUCAACCAUUAUAACCAAUCAAAUGCAUACUAAGGCAGUCAGAGAUAGUGCUAGUAGAACUCAAAUAUUAACCUCUACAAUGAAAGUGCGAGUUUAUUCAUAAACUAAUUAUACGUAAAUCAACUUUCAUGCAAUCAUCUAGUUAUGCACCAGUCAAUGUAAACCCUGCCCCCAACCGGGGAGGGGCGGGAGGUUUAGUGGGGAAAGUGGUCCGUUUUGAUUAUAAAUUUGCCCCAAUGAUGGGAGACUUGGAUGGUGGUUAAUAUAUAUAUCCUGUGUUGCUGUUUUAGUUUUCUUGACAAGAAAAGUUUAAAUACAACAACAUAAAUGAAUUUGAUUUUCUAUUGCUGAUCUAUGAUUAUACAAAACUAUUUUCCCGCGGUUGAGAGACAUGCAGGGGACAUUGAUGUCCCUGGGGGCGGGACAAUUUUGCUCUUUUACUACCCCUCCAAGUCAAAAUCCCUGCCCCUCCCCGGUUGGGGGGUUUACAUUGACUGGUGCAUUAAUUAAAGAGGUGUCAGUGCCACAUAUGUAGUAAAAGCCAACUUGUCAGUAAAGGCCAGUAGGCCACAGAGCAAGAUUGUAUUUCAAAGAUUGCCAGUGACAAGAACAAUUGAUAGGCCUGAAACAGAGUAUGCUAACAGUUAGUAUACUGCAAAUAACUAUUCUAUCAACAAGAUAAUGACCGAUGUGUGUUUUUACAAAUGUUUUUAUAUAUCAAUCCAAUGGCAUGUAACCUAAAAUUCAGCAGUGUCUGUGUAAUGUAAUACACCCUUACUUCUUAAUGGUCAAAUUAACUAUACUACAUUGUGUAUAAUAAUAUAUGGACUGGUUCAAAAAUAUAUUGAAUUAAUAACUUAUAAGUG
Molecule: non-coding RNA, 2069 nt
Organism: Paramuricea clavata
Lineage: Eukaryota; Metazoa; Cnidaria; Anthozoa; Malacalcyonacea; Plexauridae
Source: the annotation of a GenBank genome assembly